This 375-nucleotide ribosomal RNA is filed under the name uncultured organism. RNAcentral's name for it is "partial 16S ribosomal RNA". It matches the Rfam family "Bacterial small subunit ribosomal RNA", at positions 527 to 896 of the family's 1533-position model. The record is from RNAcentral.
GUAGGUGGCAAGCGUUGUCCGGAAUUAUUGGGCGUAAAGCGCGCGCAGGCGGUCCUUUAAGUCUGAUGUGAAAGCCCACGGCUCAACCGUGGAGGGUCAUUGGAAACUGGGGGACUUGAGUACAGAAGAGGAAAGCGGAAUUCCAAGUGUAGCGGUGAAAUGCGUAGAGGUUUGGAGGAACACCUGUGGCGAAGGCGGCUUUCUGGUCUGUAACUGACGCUGAGGCGCGAAAGCGUGGGGAGCAAACAGGAUUAGAUACCCUGGUAGUCCACGCCGUAAACGAUGAGUGCUAAGUGUUAGGGGGUUUCCCGCCCCCCUUAGUGCUGCAGCUAACGCAUUAAGCACUCCGCCUGGGGGAGUACGGCCGCAAGGCUG